CUAAGGCUCAAUCCCCAGUACUGGGGGUUGGAGCAGUCCCGGGCCAGGGUGUGAUCCAACCACCUUAUGUUUUGGUUUUGUAAGGUAGUCGCAGAGGUUGAAGUUGUUUUAUCUUCGGUCUUCCUUAGAAGACAGAGCUAACACGUUUCCAUAGGUACUAAUUAAUGCUCCAGGAUGAGGCCCUGUGGUUAGAAGUAAUGGGCCAGGACAAACUCACUGCAUUGCAACUGGAAUGCACUUGGCAUUAAGAUAGUAUAGAAGGCAGGCACAUCUGUGGAGCCUGGAUUAUGAUUAAUAAUCUUAUUUGUGGCUUGCUAGGAACUAUGCAGGAAAACCCAGCCAGGGUGACUGGGGGCAGGAGACACUUGUGGUGCUUAUGGCUCAGGAUGGCUGCAGUUAUGUAGAGCAUAACCCAUGCAAAUAGGAAGGCCCCACACACCAUCACGGGUCUUUAAAAGAGAAGCAGGAGAGAAGGGAGCAGAAAGAUGAACAGUGACAGCUUCAGACUGGAGUUGCUACAGAGACAGCCACAGAGAUUUGGAAAAGACAAGCAAAUGGAUUCUCCGCCAGGAAGGAAUGGACCUCAUGCGUGUCUUAGCCUACGAAGACCUGUACCAGACCUCGGCGCAACAGGACUGUAAGGAAAAUCCACACAGCAAAUCAGAA
This 666-nucleotide long non-coding RNA is filed under the name Mus musculus (house mouse). Its description in RNAcentral is "alncRNA-EC46". The record is from RNAcentral. Lineage: Eukaryota; Metazoa; Chordata; Mammalia; Rodentia; Muridae.